AAACAGGUAAGCUAAUUAAGCUACUGGGUUCAUACCCCAUUUAUAAAGGUUAUAGUCCUUUCCUUUUUA
RNAcentral lists this transfer RNA (69 nucleotides) under Sargus mactans. Its description in RNAcentral is "tRNA-Met". It matches the Rfam family "tRNA". From Rfam's summary of the family: Transfer RNA (tRNA) molecules are approximately 80 nucleotides in length. Their secondary structure includes four short double-helical elements and three loops (D, anti-codon, and T loops). Lineage: Eukaryota; Metazoa; Arthropoda; Insecta; Diptera; Stratiomyidae. The record is from RNAcentral.